This is a long non-coding RNA of Manihot esculenta (cassava), 1084 nucleotides long. RefSeq lists it as uncharacterized. The record is from RefSeq and is a predicted model, not a curated record. Lineage: Eukaryota; Viridiplantae; Streptophyta; Magnoliopsida; Malpighiales; Euphorbiaceae. The transcript is spliced from 6 exons.
AUCUAUAAAUGCUGCGUCGUUUUGCUUCUCCUCUGCGGCAUCGUUUUGGCGGUGCAUUGACUUGCUUUUGCUUCCCUCCUGCGACGUCGUUUAGCUUUGGGAGUAUAUAAUAUCUCUUCACGCCCCCCUCAAGAUGGAGUUGCCCUAAUUUUGGGGAAACCCAUCUUGGACAGAAGGGUUUGAAAUUGCGCCGCUCCUAAGGGUUUUGUGAAGAGAUCCGCGAUUUGUUGCCGUGAAGGUACGUGCACCGUAGAUAUGAAACCUCUGGAGAGUUGCUCGCGGACGAUGUGGCAGUCGAUAUCCAGAUGUUUCGUUCGUUCGUGGAAAACUGGGUUGGCCGCGAUGUGUUGGGCUGCUUGGUUGUCACAGUGAAGAGGAAUAGGGAGGUGCAGAUCGGCAUGAAACUCUUUCAUCAGGAUAUUAAGGAUGGUCCGAGGAAUAUACAAAAGCCUGUAAGAGAUUUCCGGGUCAUCGGACAGGAAGCCCAGUCAGCGUCAGAGAAAGCUUGAAUCUUGAGGUCGCUCUGAGCUGGGAAGAACAACCCUCGUGUUGGACAACUUUUCAGAUAGCGAAGCACGUGAAGUGCUGCGUUCCAGUGAGGUUGACGCGGCUGUUGCAUGAACUGGCUGAGGUGCUGUGUCGCAUAGGAGAUGUCUGGCCUUGUGACUCCGAGAAAUAAUCCAGUUUCAGAACGCGCAAUUUGCAAGCCUAGAAAAUACUUGACGUACCCCAAAUCCUUGAUUGUAAAGGCUUUGUCAAGGCAAUGAUCAAAAGGUGAUUGUUUGAAGCCAAACUGGGUUAAGCAUUGGGUAAUUGUUGCCAUUUAAAGGAGAACUGACAAGAAUCAUGCUGGGGGAAUCAGAGUUCUGCAGCUUAAUCAUCUUGUCGUCCUUCUCUGCUUUCCCAGAAUAUUCUGGGUUCCCUUGGAACAGAUUACAUCCACAGGAAACGGUGCCGUUUUGAAUCUAUAAAUGCUGCGUCGUUUUGCUUCUCCUCUGCGGCAUCGUUUUGGCGGUGCAUUGACUUGCUUUUGCUUCCCUCCUGCGACGUCGUUUAGCUUUGGGAGUAUAUAAUAUCUCUUCAG